This is an RNA transcript of Columba livia (rock pigeon), 18993 nucleotides long. It is a transcript of the gene named chromosome 4 C4orf50 homolog, with no coding region annotated. NCBI's taxonomy places the organism in Eukaryota, Metazoa, Chordata, Aves, Columbiformes, Columbidae. The transcript is spliced from 16 exons. The record is from RefSeq and is a predicted model, not a curated record.
CAGAGCUUGGAAUAACCAAACCAGGUGCUGAUGAAGGAACAGAAAUUGGAAAGCGUGAUUCACUUGGCAAAGAAGCACUCUUCUCAUAGACAUCAUUUUGCUCAUCACUGCUUUGGAAAUGAAACUACAAGCACAAACGUGAGAUGGUCAGAGCAUGUGGCUGCAAUGGUAAAUGCACUGUGGAGACAGGAGAUGGUCUUGUUAUGAAGCAGAAAAGGAAUUAGAAGAUGCAAGUAUACCUGAUCAACAAGUAAACAGUGCUGGAGAAGAUAAUUUGAACCUCAGAAUAAAAGAGCUGGAAAAUUCUGAACAAAAGCUGAAAGGUAUUCUAGAGAACUACGUGGAGUCAGAUUCUGUCCUAAGAAAUAGGAUGAAUGAGCUGGAGAGGUCACACAAAAUACUUCUUGUGACGAUUGAUCAACUAAAUGUGAAGUUGCACCAGGUUGAAAAUGCAAAUAUGCGUGUUAAAGGGAAACUGCGAGACAUUCGGGAAGACCUGAUCAACUUGGUUGAAAAUCAAGAAAAGUCAGAGAAGAAGCAAAAGGAAAAAUUACGUUGGCUUCAGGAGCAGCUGAAGACAAAAGAAGAUGAAAUAAAGAGCCAGUCAGAUUAUUUUGAGCACUACAAACAGAGGCAGAGACAAAAGACAGCAGUGCUGAGAGAAAGGGAAUGUUACCUUCGGGGUGAGGUAUCUAGGUUGGAAGAACAAGUCCUACAUCUUAGUGCCCAUAUUGCUCUUUUGACAUCCAAGAUAGAAGAGGGAAUGGCGCAGUAUCUCCAGCAAAAGCUGGAAUCAGUGUUCAGUGGGACUCAGUGCUGCAAAUACUCUGACCUGGAAGUAAUGAAAUUGAAAACUUGCAUUGAAAAUGUGAAGCAUGACAUGAUAAGCCACCUUGAGGCAUUUCAGCAAAAUUUGAAGUUUUUCAGAGAAAAAGAGGAGUAUUACAGAAGAGAAAAGGCAGACCUGUUGACUGCGCUCCAGUACUCUCAGGACACUGAAGACUUUCUCAGAAGAAAAUUGGAAGAAUCUUGCCAUCUUGUUUAUAGCCUGAAAUUAUCAAAAAUCAAACUACAAGAAAAAAUGGAAGAGCUUUUGGAUGAAAAUAAGACCUUAAAAGAUCAAGGUAUGGUAAAACUGAAAAAGAAGAAAGAAAAGGACUCACAACUUACAAGACUGGAGAAUGGAGGAGAGACUGUUGAUCCAAAUGGAGAUUUAAUUCAAGAUGACAUUCCAAAUCUGAAAUGGGAAGCAGUCAUGGAUUCACUCAAAAGCAGAGUUACUCAAACUCCAGUUGUGCUGCUACGUGCUAAAGAGUUUGAAACACCAGGAUCUAGCUGUGAUGAGCUAAAGCAGAUGCAGGAGCUACCAGAAGAACUUCUGCCAGUUUUGGAACACAAUUCCAGUGCCUUUGCAAAAGUCAUUGGACUAGCUGAGACUGAGCAGGUCACUCUUGGAACAAAGAGGGCAGGUGCUCUAGAAGACAGUUUCACUUUGUUCAGAUGUACCCCAAGUUAUUGUGUAGCAGGACUAUUUCCCCCUUGUUCUGAGAAGUUAACUAAUGGUGAGACAAGUAAGGAAACCAAAGGUGAAGAAAACUUUUCUCUCUUGAAAGAACAAGGUCUAAUUCUGCCAGCAAAGAUGUUCCCUGUUUCUGUGGUUGAAGCUUUGAUGAGGAAGAAGCUCCAACUUACUCUGUUAGAACCUGAAAAUUACCACGUAUCAGCUGUCACCACUAUGAAGAAAGUGAGAAGUUUGUAUUUCUGUGGGGCAAAUACCAGUCUGUGCUCUGAUGGCUUCUGCUUUGUUGCAGAAAGAGGAUUUUCUGGCAAAACCUCUGCACAAUUUUGUGGAAAGAUGCCUUACAUUCUGACUGAAAUUUUCACAGUGUCUCUAGAAAAAUACCACAUGGAAAAACUUUGGGAAAACAAGCAAAUUCUGCCAAAAAGCUUAAGUGGAAAUAAAUCUUUGGAUGAAGUUAUUAAUGAUGGAAAGUAUCACCAAAAAGUCUUUAGAUGGAAAGCUGAAGGAGAGGAAAUACAGAAAGCCCAACUGCAACAGGUGACCCGUGUUCCUGAAGAGAGUUCUAAAGUUUUAAAUAGAACUGAAUUAAUCAAGCCUGGGAAGCCAGGAAUGGAAGACAAAGACAGCCCAAGUAUUCCACAGGAUGUUCAAAAUUUAUUUGUUUAUUUUAAAGACUUUAAGAAGCAUUUUGAAGGGAACACUGAACUAAUAGAUAAACAAGGAAACCUCUCAGAAGUCUGCAUCUCUGAUACGAAUAGGGUAUAUAAUAGAGAAGACAUAAUAAAAUUGGAGAACCGAGAACAAUCUCAGAAACCAACUCACCAAACAAACGCUUCCAGUAAUAUUGGCUUGAAAGAAAAGAAAGACCAGACCCUGAAACUAUGUGAGCCAAAUGAGAACAAUUCCUCAUGUCAAAAAAUAGCUGCUGAAAACAUGCAAUAUGCACGCUCUCAGAAUUUUCUUUGGUCACAGGAAGAGAAGUAUCCACUCAAUAUAUUGUGUCCUGUGCAGGAGAGGGCUGUGUGUUUAAGCAAACUGUUCCUGCCAGGGAGCAAUUUUUAUGAGUGUUUGUGUCAUCUGUCACCACUGGAAGCUGGCAAUGACCCUAAUGUGAAAAUAUGUGCACUGGAAAAAAUGGUGGCUCUGUGUUCUCAGAGGAUAUUUCUACUGAUGCAAGAGAAAAAAAAUUACUCAACAAAAGUCUGUGUAUUACAACAGGAGAAUGAGAGAUAUGCUCAGAUGGUGCAUGCACUGGAAGAGGAGGUGGAUGCAUAUUUUCAAUGUAUUUUAGCAGUAGAGGAAGCUAACAUUGUUUCAUUCCAAAACUUACUUAAUCAGAAAGAAGUUACUGGUGAAUGUUACAAUAACUCAUCAGAAGAAAACAUCAUGAUCCCAGGAACAUUUUUUGUUGAAACCUUCUUCAAGAACUUCUUAUGUCUGGAAGAGAAAAGUAAGAAUUCUGAAAAAAAGUCACUGACAAUUGCAUCAAAUACACUUUCCAGGAGUGUUUUAUCCCUAGAUGGAAGGAAAAUGAGGUAUUUCCAGCUACUUUCUGACCUGAAGGAAGAAAGAAGCAAAUGCUUCAAAGAAAUAGCUCAAUUAUUACAAGACAAAGAGAACUAUGUGGCUAAAUAUAAUGAAUUAUUACAAGAGAGAGAUGGAAAUUUACGAAGGAUAUAUCUUUUAGAAGGUGAAAAAGAAACAUUAUUGGGAUGUUUGGCAGAGGUAAAGCGUGAACAAGACAAAUACAGGACUUUGGUUUCAGAACUUCAAGAGUGCAAAACCAGUAGUUUUCAAACUAUUUCUGAUUUACAGGAAGAAAAGUGUGUAAUGAAAAGAGAAAUAGACAGGGUCAGGAAAGAAACAUCAGAACAGCUUGGUGAAUUUCAGAAAGCAAAUGCAAACUUCCUUUUAGAAAAUAGCAAAUUGAAAGAAUUAGUAUCUUCUUUGGGUUUCACCUAUGAAGAGCUGAGAAAACAUAAAAGUUUGGGGAUGAAAGAAAAGAUAGUAAAAGUAAAAGAAGGAAGUCAGCGACAUGGUCUGAAGCCAAUGAAAGUUGAAACAGCAUGUGGUAUAACUCAGACUGAAGGAGUGCUAAUUAUAGACCCCUCAAACUGUUUCGCUGGAAAAGAGGGCAGCACAUUUGAAAGCUACAGUGUGAUGAAAAAGCAAGUUGAGAAGGCAAAAGAAGAACUAAAACUACAGCAAAAGGAAUUAGAAAAAUCAAAAAAAGAGGCUCAGAAAUGGUACAUAGAACUUGGUUUUGCUGAAACUAGAUAUGAAGAAAUCAAAACUCAUUUGUCACAAGUUCUCUCAGAAUUAGACCAUCUUAAAAAAGAAGCUGGGGACAGAAUGCUUGUAAAGCAGCACUGCAAGUUAAUGCCUGUGUACACUGUGAAAGAUGGCCAGGAAAUAGAGGAGAACAAAAUUGCCAAUAAGCGAUUACGGCAGCAAGUACUGACCUUGAAAGCCCAGCUCAGAGACCAGACCGCAUUACAAAAUCAGUUUCAUGACUUGCAGAAUGAAGUGGAACUCCUUCAGGCUCAGCUAUGUGAAAAGGAAAAACAGCUUCAGAAGAGAAGGUCUGAAGAGAAGUUGACACUAGCUCCUCUGAAGGCUAAGCUGGCUUGCCUCACCCAAAAGUGCCAGGAAAGGAACAGCUUCAUUGCCAGGAUGCUUAGUGAAUUGCACAGGAGAGGAAUUAUUACCUCUGAAUUUGAUGAAGAGGUGAAAAACUUUGUGAAUGACGUGACCCUGGCAGAGUACACAGUUGCUUUUACAUCAAUGUGUGAUCAAGAGAUGCUGCCUUCUUCCACAGAUAUUUCACAGGCCAAUGGACAGCCCCAGGAUCGUGAGACAUGUGUCGAAGUGAAGGGAAUGACUGAGUCAACACCUGCAAACUCUCAGCAAGAGGUGGAUAGCACCUGCAGAUCUCGCAUCACUCCAAACAUGUAUGAUGCUUCUCCUAUAACAUUAACAAGUCCAGAGAGGGUCAUAGCCUGGCAUCAAAAACUAAGACAAAACCAUCACAAAAACUGCCAGAUACCGUCAGUUGUCUCCUCCAACUCAAAUCCAAAGGCUGACUGCAACCUGCCCAUGAUCCAUGAGGAAGCCCCUUGGCCUGUGCUGUCAAGGACGAAGGAUGCACUGGUGCCUCUGGACCAUGGUGCUUUCUGGGCCACAAAGGGGAGGGAUCAGUUGUCCAAAUGUGAUGAUGUAUUUUGGGGUCAAAUAGGAAAUCAGCAUGCAGGUGCCAUUCCCCAGGCAAUGAAACAGAAAAAUGCCAUUAUGAAUAAGGCAUGGCUCUCUAGAGAAAAAACAGAUGGCUCAACCUCAGCUACCACAGCAAAAAGCUAUUUGUCAGACGUGUUGUCAGCAAGUAAUAAAGGUCGAAAUCCUGUGGGGAGAAAUCAGCUGCAUGGGAAAGAAUUAAAUCCACAGAAAUAAAAAAAGGGAUGACUUUGCCUGUUGGUUUGGUCUACAUUAUUAAACAGUGGGGAGAAGCAGCCUGACGGUCGGUUCAGAGAGUCAGAAUUCAGAUGAUGACUUAGGAUUUUGCAAAUGACUUUCAUUGCAGAAUACAAGACCCCUGGGUUUGUCUUUCUGUGGAGCAAGAGGAAAUAUCUGAAGAUUUGUGCUCCUGAGGCUAGAACAAUUCUACUCUGCUGAAGACUGUGGUUAGUGUAUGAGCCAUCCACCAGUGAAGUGCUUAAGCAACAGUGGACUUACUAUUUGAUUGAACUCUGUUUUUCUGGUUGUUAAUUACACUCCUUCUAUGGCUUUUCGUGUUUGAGCUGUAUCAUUAUGCUUAACAAAAUGUUUGUUAUUACCUGCUGUGAUUUUGAAUAAUUCAUGGUAUUAGUGUGCAAUUUGAGACUAUCAUGUGUUCUCUCUGGAGAAAACCGAAGGUUGCUGUUUUGUUUUUUUUUUCUUUGAAGGUGAGUGGAAGAGACGAUUUGGUUUCCGUGGUCUUUUAUCAGGAAGUUAAUUUUGAAUCACCCAAGAAAAUUAACAAAAACAUAAUGAGGAUAUAGUACUCGCAAUAUUUUUUAAAUAUUUUUAUGAAAUAUCUUGCUAAGAUACAAAGUAACCUGAGUAAACCAGCCCAGGACUUCUGUAAAUAGCAAUGUCUCGUACUUUCAGUUAAUUGUUUCCACAGAGGUAGCAAAUGACAACACGGUGUUUAUCCUGCGGCAGUGUUUCUGCAGCUCUCAAUUUCAUUUGAUUCUGUUUCCUUUUCUUAAUGGAUGAGUUAACCAAAUCUAAAAAUAAAAAUCCAUUUUUUCAAUUAUGACAGGGAUUUUCUUACUUCAGUUCUGUGAGUUGCCCUGGAAACAAGAAAACACUAAAGUAAGGUCCGAAAAAUGGUGCCAUGACAACCAUUUUUUCUGUUAUUUUUGGUUACAGCUUAAUCCUAGAAAAAUUAUAUGGCUGAGGAGCCCAGCUACUAGCUGAUACUGUCAGGUAACUUCUGAACAAAGAUAGGUGUGGUAAGUUUGUUUUGAUUAGGUGAAAGUCAAUGGGAAUACUCCACAGUAAAAAGUCAUUGUGUCAGAAAAACAUUUUUUUAAAGAGUUCUUCUCCUCCAUCCUGGCAUGUUCUCUGGAGUCGCUUCACUCUGCCACUGUCUGUGCUUUGCUGCAGUCUCAGGACUGGAUUAACUCCAUCUUUAUACAGUCUGCAUCGGCCAAGAUCUUUCAGACUGCAAGGCUGAAAUCUUCUUUAUGGUUAUCUUCACAGAAAGUUAUGGAAUGUUUUCUCAUUGUCCAAAUGAUGAAAGUGCUGGUCCUCUGAACAUGAAGCAGACCAGUUUAAUGUUAUAACAACGGUCAUUCCUAAAGGUUAACUGCUUUAUAAUUAGCCAGAUUUUUCCCUCCACUCACUACAAGUUUGCAAUCUGCUUAAUAUAUGCACAGUCAGGGAAAAGCUGUAAAUAUGAUGCUAGAAGCAGACACUUGGAACUAUUGCUCUUGCUUUUCUUCAACUUAUGCAAGUGUUUGCAGUAGCUUAGUGCCAACAGAACUGUUGUGUCCCAGCACUUUGGGCUUAAUCUUGUAAGUCUUGAGAGUACACUGUUCCCUUUCCAACACUCUUCAACAGAUCUGUGUGAGGAGGGUUUGCAAGACCAAGUGGUUAACUGAAAGCCACAAGUACAUCACCACCUGCUUAAGCCAUCAGUGUAGAACUGAGCUCACUCAUGAAGUCGUACCAGCUGAAAUCUUGGCUAAAAAAAAUCUCCUAACCAAGCAUUUUGGUCACGAGAAGCCGGCCCCUCAAAUCUUAUUCAGACAGAUCAUUCCACCUGCUUCUUCCCUUGCAAAUGAUUGAAGUUCCCUCUUACAGAGGUUUUCCAGUGAGUCUUGCUGAUCUUUAAGCUGCAGCUUUAUGUCCAUUGAUAGCUGUUCUUGUCUCAUGUGCCUAUUGAAUGCAGAGGUUAAGAAUGCAGAGGUUAUCUGCAUCCAUAGCCUUCUCUCUGCAAACAAACCUAGAUGAUCUCUGACAGUAAAUAGCAUUCUUGCUCCACAGGCAUGUAAAUCCACUGAGGGUGAUGAGUUGAUCCAGGAAAUUGCUGCCCUCAUAAAUUGCUGGGACUGCAUGCUGGAGGCAUAGUGUCAUCCCUGAUACCUGUCUGGCACUGGUGAUCUCCAAGAACUUCUAAAAUUAUAGUCUAAAAUGCUAACAAGGCGUAGGAGGGAAGGGUUUAUUUUAUGUAAAUUUAGCCAGGAAGUCUUUGAAACUAAUUGCUUAAAGAGGGUGGAGAAAGUUGAUGGAGUGUGAUAGACAUACAGAUUUUUUUUCCUGCUUUCAGAAUACAGUGUUGAUUAACUGGGCUUAGUAUAGCACUGCAUAUAUUAGCUGAGCAUAAAAUUGCACAGUGCAUGAGCCUGCUCUGUGGAUAAACUGAACAGGCCGUGCUCUGGAUGUUACUACAGAUGCAAAUUUAGGAAGUUUUAGAGCUAUUCUUCUGCAGAUAAAACCUUUGCUUCUAGUGAACUUGGUAUCAAAUUAUUGUCCUCCUUGAUGUCAAUAUUUUAAUUUGUGGUAAAAAAUAAAAUCAAAUGCAAAAAAAAUAUCUGAAGCGAUACCUACAGAAUGGACCGUUAGUUCGGAAAAGUUUCAAAUUCAGGAGUAACACUAGGGAAAUCCUUCUUUACAUACAUACUACUCAGCAUAGCUACUCUGACAGAUGUCAAAGGCUUGCCUGUCAAUCAGCCUUCCAGUUUACAUGCCAAGCCCUGUUUAGUCUUUCUGGUUUGUGUUUGUUGGUUGUGCUGACUUGUCUAAUAGAGCAGCCUCUGAUCUUUCUUUGGUGCUGUUCUGGACACAGUCUACUAUUCUGCAGGCAUGGGCUGCACACCUUGUUCCUAGUGCAUCACCUUGCAUUUGAGCAUAUUAAAAUAUUUAUAGAAAAUCAGUGAUUUAAUUUCCAUGCUAGUUGGAGACUAGCAUUACAAAUUAGAGUUACAUUCUCUGUCUAGAACUGGGGGUUGCAUAGAUGUCUAUAUGUAUUUGAUACCUGAAGAAAACACAGUAUGGUGCCUACUGUAGUAGGUCAAAUCUGUUGUUCUUAGGUAUGAGUGCAUGUCAUGAAUCUAUGCAUACUUCAUUUCAGUGUGAAAGCUGGGUACCUGCUGUUGACUUGUACACCUUUCCCUUCACAAUAUCUUAAGCUAGUUUUAAUGGAGAGAAGAUUUUUAUAACAUCCAAGUUUGGAUAUAGUCUCCUCUGUGCUGUGUCCCAUGAACAUGUAUGAAGUCCCUGACCAUUACCAUGACAGUUUCACAGGGGUGAAUGGUUAAAAAUUGAACUCAAAACAGUAUAUUAAAAUGCAAAUGACAUGAAUUAACUCAAAAUAUUUUCUUUCCAGAAAUAAAACUACACUUGAAUGGAUGGGCACUAAUGAAUUAAAAAAAAAAAAAAAAAAAGCCUAAUGUGGAUGAUGCAGUGUGUCUGAUUGUAAGCACCAGGCUGAAAACACAUAACAAUUACAGGCCUUUGGAAAACUGAAGGCUGAGAUUUCAGUGGGUCUCCUUUAAUAGGAAAAAAAAAAAUUAUAUGAGCCUUUGAUGAGCAGCACACAAGGUUAUGUAGCAGUCAGAGCAUAUUCUGUCUUACUUAUUUGGGACAGAGAGCCAGAUGCAUCACUGUUACAUAAGCCUGCUGACCUGCAUAUAGAGCUUUAUGGCAACAGAAAUUUAGAGAAAAACAAAUCCUAUUCAACUUAGCCAAUAUGAAGGCAAGAAAUUAGUGUCUUUUUAAGUUUUGUUGCUUUCUACUUGCUUUCUCUGGAGUUGCAUGGCUCUACAGAUAUGUUUAAAGGAGAAAAACCCAUGAAACAUAUUAUUCCCUAUAGGGCUCAGUUUUGAAAACAGAAUUGGGAGGGCAUGAAUACCUGAGACAAAGAAGAAGGGUGAGAAGGCAAUGAAUGUGAUGAAAUCUCAGUCUACUGAGUAAUGGUACAAUCUGACUGUUUAGGGAACAGGACCACAAGAUGUGUUUUAUAACAGACAUAACAGCCCAUUAUUUAAGUGGUGCAGCAUGAAAAAAGAUCAUGCCAGUUUGCAGAAAAUUUUGAUAGAUUUAUUUAAUUUGAUUUUUUUUUUCUGUUUUGAAAUAAAAAGGAGUGUAUUUUUCAACUCUAAAUGAAUAGAAUAUUUUCUGUUAGAAGGGACCUACAACAAUCAUCUAGUCCAAAGUUAAUGACACUUGGAACUGGAGGUAUCAGAAGAUCUUGGGUCCCCAUCUUGAGGAAAUGUCUGCAUCCUCUGGCUGCCUGGGAUGCCAAGGAGCUUCACAUUUCCAGAGCUUCCAGACUCUUGCUUCUUUUCUUUCUUCCUGGUGGGCUAACAGAGAGCUGGCAGCCUUGGAGUUUAAGAGCAGGGAUACUCUGCUCUUAGUUUCUUGGCAGCCUGCCUAAAGACAUCUGUAGAGGAGCCAGCAGCCUAGGAGCUCUGCAAUCUCUGAGACUAUCCUGGAGCAAUAACUUCUUUCAAACUCCCACUCUCUGUCAACCUGCCAGGAGCACUGUUGAAGAACAGGGAAGGGGAACUGGCAGGAAAUCAGGCGUAAUUCCUGCAGCCUCAUCAAAAUAAAAUUUUCCAUGCAAAAUGUUUCUGACCACUUUUAGUAACCCCCUGUGUAAACCCUAACAUGUCAGGACCUGAUCCUGGAAGUCCUACAUCCCCUUGCUUUAGGUAUGGUUGCAAAGUUCAGUGAGGCAGAAGGGAGGACAAAAAGAUAUUUACACCAUCCUAGUAUCUCUGUAGCUGGGAUGUGGGUCAGCUGCAACUGUUCGCAUAGCACUAGACUGCCUGCAGUCAGAUGGCCUACAAAUCCCAGUUGUCCUAAUGGUAUUGGAGGACAUGGUUAUUCUAGGAAGGUUCUUGACUGGUGUAGCAGCUGUUAUGAUGGUACUGGAAAGGUAAAUGAAAUAUGUGUUGCCACUCAGCUCUUUUUCCCAUGCUUGCUUUAUGAUUGACCUUGAGGUCUGUGUCUGAGUAGAGAUAUUGGUCCAAACAGUGUGGACAAGAGAAUUGUCUGGACACAUGUGUGUCCCAAGUAUGUACUUAAAAUUCAACACACAUAUUUUCAAUACAGCCUAAAGGUUACUGUAAUUUUUAGUUAUAAUCCAUAGCUAUAGGGUGACGUGUCAGCAGCUGAGGGCCCCGGGAAGGUGCUCUUGCUUUUUCUAGCCAUAGAGAAGGAGGACGAUAAUACAACAGGCCUUGUGGCUCAGUCAUAACUACAGCCCCUGCAGGGUGAAUUAGGACUGGUGCAAUGCAAAAGUGCCCAAAUGACAGAGAGAAUCUGGGCCACUGCGUUCAUCUUGUUUGAUUUCCAAAUUUUUCAAUGCUCAGGGGGACAGGAUUAUAACAAAGUUUGACUUCCUGCUAUGUAGGUCAUACGCUAUAUGCUGCAUCCUCCACCACAGGGGUAAAGCUGGACCAGGGAAACUUGCUUUGCCUUUGUAAACAUUGAUGGAGAUAUCAAAUCUAUUUCUUUUAUUAAUAAUUUUCAAUUACUUCAUUUUGGGAUAAAACCAUUUAGACUUUUACUGCUGGUGAUACAUUAAAAUGUGUUGCAGUAACAAUGUGUUGCAGUUAUUGAACUCUGCAGCCUUUACAUCACCGCCUCUCAGCAAGAUUCACUGUUGGUCUGGAGGCUUUCUGGGUAACUAGUGGACUGUCUGGCUUUGUCAUGGGGUUUUCAAGGGUACUCCCACGUUAAUGCUCCUGCAACCAUGGCUGUGCAUCCCCCGUCUUUGGCAGACAGGGCUGUGCAGGCUGACACACAAAUCUACUGUAGAUUGAUCUGGGAACAGGGUGAGGAAAUAACCACAGAAAGCCUAGGAUUUGCUCACAGACUGGUAAUAAUACUGCUUUGAUUACUACUUUAAAAAAAAAAUCCAACCUACUCUAGCAGUCAUUCUGUCUUGUUGCAAGACUUUGUAAAGAUCAGGCAAGGAAAACAAACCAGAAAAGCUCAAAUAUUUGUGUGCUCCUUUCUUCCUGAGCUUUUGCUAUGGGGAUCAUGUAGAAAUCGUCAUUCUUAGGUGCUACUUAAUCUAUCCUGGAUGUGCAUGAAGAAUUUUAACCCGUGUGGUUAGAGGGGUAAUAGGAUACAAAAGUGCUUUGCUGAAAUGUGGAUUCACUUGCCUAUUUUUCUUAGCCUGACAGUAGAAAGGCAAACCUGCUGAUUAGUGUUACUUGUAUGACUGUGCAUUUAAGGGGAAGAUAUUUCUUUGUUACUGCUGCAGCUCUGUUGGAGCAAUUAAAAAAAAUGUGUCUGAGGAGGAGGCAAUAACUCUGAAAGUGUCUUUGGUGACUAAACAUUACACCCUAAAUAUACAGUGUUGCUACUGAUUUUCCUAGUCUCCUGUGAGUCAUAAAAUCUUGUCUCGUAUUGAGUGAGCCAUUCUUAAUGACCUUGACUUAAAAAAAAAAAUGCCUGUGACUCCCCCACAGUCAAAUAAUUUAAAUGAAUGGUUUUCUGUAGGACAUUCGUAGUCAUUUUCAGAUAAUUAAAAUUCCUGAAGGGCAAGGGGCAGGUCUGCAUUUGCAGGCAUCACUGCUGUUGCCAGAACAAAGCCCAAAGGUUGCCGUGGCUUAGAUGAAUGCAAUGCUUGGUCUUCUGGGCAGCCUUUACCAAUGUAAAUGUGAAUAGGCCUGCCUGGGCAGAUCAUCUGAUAAAGAGACAGCAUGCUCCAGAGGCUGAAGGACUAAAAUGGCCUCUACUUCCAAGGAUCUUACAUCGUCCUACUCACAAUUAGUGCUCUUCUGUUCCAGCAGGUCUUUCAGAUUUUCAUGGGUGUACUUACCUCCUUGGCUUCCCCAGUAUCUCCCACGGUGCUUUCCCCUCAUAGUCUGUUGGUCCAGUUUGCAAUGUCUUGCUGCAAGGAGCUUGAAUCAAACUCAGCAAAUGUAGCAUGUAUUUAAAAGAUUUAUGGCUGUUACCUAUUGCAAAUUUAUGUGUUCCAGUGGUGUUCUACAAUUGGUCUGUGAAACUGAUAUUACACAUUACCAGCAGAACUUUAUCAUUAAGAUCUUGCUAUUAAGGAUACUCUCUGAGAAACUGUAAGGGAAAGGAGUGGGGCCCACUAGCCCAAAAGGUUUGGAAAUAACCAAGUUGAACAUGCUUCUAUUGCUUUCUGGGUUUUUUUUUUUGUUUUGGUUUGGUUUGUUUUUUUUUGGAGCUAUAAGACUGCUGUGGGUCAACCUGGUGCUAAAGCAUCUUGUGGUUGUUGCUACUGUCUGUUACUGUCGGUAAUUUUUUGAUAAUGUUCAUAUCUUUAACCUCAGUGAAACAGGCACACUUAUAAAGAUUGCCUUCAUUUUUUUACCUGACAAGAUAAUCCUUCUGGAAUUUGCUUUUUGAUUGUAUUGAAAUGUUUGUCAGGAACAAUGUGUCUGCUAUAUAGAAGGUAUGAUGCUGAUGUCAUAUUUGGACAUGUCAUGCUGUUAUUGUCUCCAUAAUGUGAGGCUGACUCAUUUGUAUUAGCCUUCAAAUCCAUUAUAACUGUCCUGAUGGGAGAGAUGUAAAUAAUCAUAAAUUCAUGUCCUCAAUUUACCUUAGCACAAAAAAUACCCUAUAUUUAAUAAGUACCGUUAGAUUUUCAAGGCUAGUAAAACUCUGGGGUAUAUAAAUGGGGUGGUGCCUGUACAGGAAAAUCAAAGCAGUAAAGUAAAUGGGGUGCUGUGAAAGAUGCUUUAAAUACAAGGGUGUUUUAAUAGUUUCUUAUUAUAAAUUGGAAUAUGGCCACUCUUUAAUUAGAACUAGCACUGGGUGAACUCUAUCAUAAAAAAAUAAAGGAUUCCAGCUGGUUUUUCCUUUCUGUGUGUUCUCAACAAUCUGUGAUCAGACUUCAAGGUUUCCUAGUUUGUCAUUUCAAAUUAUUGGACUGCUUCAUAUCAGUGUGUUUCACCCUAAGCUUCUUGGCAAGCUAGCUUGCUUUGGCUGCAUUUUCAAGAUUUUGGGUUAGCAAUUGAUCUCAUAUGUGUGUGUGUUACUGCUGCCUGCCUGCAAAGUUGUGGAAUAUUUGAUGAGAAGGAGGUUAGACAUCGGGAUUCUUCUGUAAAAAUUUGCAUCUCAAAGCUGCAAAGAAUUGCAAGGAUAUUAUUUUAGAAGACAUUUUUGAGAGCAAAUAUAUUCUUUCUAUAGAUAUCGACAGGCCAUUAAAAGAAAAAUUAGCUUCCAGAAUGGAGCUCAGCACAGCAGUGAAUUCAGCUGUCCAUGCACGUUUGUAAGAUUCACAUCUGCAAUUCCUGUUCGCUGUGGUUACUCAACCCUAAUUAAGACUUAAAUUGUUCUUCUCCAAACAGUAUGAAAAUGAAUGUUGAUCGUCAUUUUUCUGAAGAGUUCCAUAAUGUUAAAGAGUGGCAUUGCUUGUACAUUGUAUAUUGACCAUAUUCAAUUAUUAAUGAAACUAAUGUAUUUUGCAUCGAGUAUAAUUAAGACAAACUUCCUUCAUCACUGCAUGAAUUCAUUUUACCAGUUACAUCAUUAGCUUCAUAAGAGAGAAACUGGCAUAAGGCCAGAGCAAUAAUGUGGAAUAAGAUCUAUAAAUGUAAUGCUAUUUAGUAUUUAAUGUCUUUAUUAAUCACAAAAAUGUAGAACAACAUAAUUUCAUUUUCUAACAGAAGAGAAUAUAAUUUAUUCGUGGUUUUCAACAUCCAUGGUUGGUUAGGGUUUUUUGUUUGGUUGGGUUUGGUUUUGUUUUUUGUUUGUUUGGUUGUUGUUGUGGCUUUUUUGUUGUGGAUUUUUGUGUGGGUUUUUUUUUUCCCUGGGUUGCAAUUGGUGUAGCUUUUCCUUUCCUCUGAGAUACAGGCAAGAUUUGUUGGCCUUUGUUUAUAAUUGGAAUCAAUACCUCUUCAUUCAGAAUUUAAUGCGAUUCACACCUCUGGAGCUCCAACGUGAAUCCAUCAAUUAGAAAUGAAUUUUAUGAGCAGCAAUCUGUGAAUCAGAAGACUACACUGAAUACUAUUUGAUUUUAUUUUUCUGAAAUACAGAAAUCAAAUGUUUUUGCAAAGAUCAGUAUGUUCUUGGUUAUAUAGCAUUUCUUACCAAAUGGCUUAGGGAUCCCAUGUGUAUUAUAGUAAAAUGCAGCUGUGCAACAUUUCCUUUCUUGUAAUCACUUUCAUUUUUGCCAGUUUUUCUAUUUGCAAGUAAUAAAACAAACAAACAUGAAAUAAAUAUGUUCACAUUUUAAAGUAAGGUACUAUAACACACACAAAAAAUAGUUUAUGGUAGAUAACUUUCUACUGAAGUGUGUGUGUGCCACAGACACAUUUGAUUUUCUGUAAUUAAUAGAAAGUAUAGUAUGACUGGAUGUUCAUGAUUAUUUUAGUUAGACCAAGUAAAAUAUCUAUAACUUCAUUAGCAAAUAUUAAAGAACAGCAAAAGCCUCAUGCCUGGCAUUUUCUCUCAUUUGUGGUAGGUCCAGAGUAGUGGUAGAGGCCAGUGGCACUUCAGUGAUACUAAAGAAAGGGUAAUAUGUGACCCUCGAUAAGGGCAGAGACACAGUAGAGUAAUUCCUUUGUAUUUUACAGCAGAAACUCUUUUCAGGUGUGGCAUAGUACCUUCUUCAAAUAUUUGUUCACAAUAGAAGAAAUAUGUAUUUCCUUGCUGGGCAUAAAGAAAUUGUAUUAAUUUCUUGAAUUUUACACUUUCAUCACUUUAAAUACCUCUAAUGCUACAAAACAAUGGAAAUAUGUUGUGCUCACUCUGCAUAUCAGUGCUGAGGUAUAGAGCAUCCACUGUGUACUGGUGGCUUCAGAUCUUUGAUGCUGUGUGUAUUGAUGAAAUGUUCCAUGUAUGUAUUGACUGAGGUUAUUCAGAAGUCAGAGUGAAGCAGUUGGAAAUGUGUGAUAGUCCACUACAUAAAACUACCUCAGCUACUUGGAAAGUUAGCAGAUAUUAUUUUGGUAUGUUUUUUCACCAUAUUUCGUGUCCUCUUUCAGAUGAUCAGAAUAAAAUAACAUCUUCCUUUUUCCAUGUUUAUCUUGGAUAGAACUAUUUAACUUAAAAUCUUGUGUGUGCUUUCAUCAAUUCAAAAAGGGACUCUCUGAAGAUGCUGUAGAGAUCUUAGGAAUGUGUGUACAGUCCUGCAGUUGUUUCGGGUUUUUGUUUUGUUUUUAUUUUUCAUUUUGUUAUUUUGGUUGGGGGGAGGGGAAUUGGUUUGAUUUAGGUUUUAUUUGCUUGUCUGUUUGUUUUUUUCCUUCCAUCCCUGCUGUUGUUUGUCUUUAAAGUCUAUAUUGGCUUAUUUCUUUUGGACUUUGCACACUUUGUAGAUUUUCUGCAAAGCUUUUUCCUGCUGUGGCUUCUACAGGGUGGCUUCUACUCUGUGCUUUGCAAGGGACAGAGGCCAUGCACCCUGGCAGUGGACACAGAGCUCUGCUCUGCAAGGACCUGACUGGAGUGGAGGAGUUGAACAGGGCAGCUCUCUUUAGGAGGAGGUGUGGUUGGUCAGCAUGAGUUCUACGAGUUCUGUUCCACCAGUGUGAGCUGAGGUGGAUGAGCUUGUGCAGACCAGUCAGUGCCAUUUCUAUCAUUCUGUUCUUUGUAUCAGCUGUCUCUGAACAAGCUGAGCUGGCCACAGGGUCAGGCGAUGCCAUUGCCUAACAGUGCUGGUGCCUUCUGAGCUUCCUUAAAAAUGUUAGUUUAGAUGCUUGAUGCGGUAAACCACUUGUGCUAUGAGGAGAUGCCAAGGGACCUUGACUGGUUGGCUCUGGAGAAAAGCCAGCUUUGGAGGGACCUCACAACAGUCUUCCUGCACCUACAGUUAUAGAAUCAUAGAAUAGUUUGGAUUGAACGGGACCUUCAAAAGUCAUCUAGUCCAACACCUUUGCAAUGAGCAGGAACAUCUUAAACUUGAUCAGGUUGCUCAGAGCCCUGUCCAGCCUGGCCUUGAGUGUCUCCAGAGAUGGGACAUCCACCACCCCUCUGGGCAACCUGUUCUUGUAAAAAAAAUUCUUCCUCAUGUCUAACUUGAAUCUCCCCUCUUCUAGUUUAAAACCAUUAGCCCUUGUCCUGUCGUAACACGCCCUUCUAAAAAAUCUGUUCCUAUCUUUCUUAUAGGCUCAUUUUAAGUACUGAAAGUCUGCAAUAAGGUCUCCCCAGAGCCUUCUCUUCUUCAGAUUAAGUAAUUGAGAAGACUGAGCUGGGCUCUUUGAAGUGGUGCAUAGUAGGAGGAUUAGUCACAGUGGGCAUAAACUGAAGCAAGGGAGGUUCAGACUGGAUAUAGAAAAAGCAUUUUCCCCAAGAGGACAGCUGAGCAGUGGGACAGGCUGCCCAAGGAGACUGUGCAUUCUCCAUCCCAGGAGGUUUUCAAGGUUUGACUAAGCCCUGAGCAAACUCGUGUGACUUCAUAACUGACUCUGCUGUGAAUAUGUUGAUAUAAAUGACCUUCUGAGUUUCCUUUCUAUAGUUUCCUGAUACUUAGCACACAAUGAACAAGGAUAGAUGAGGAGGAUUGGGAGCUAUUUCUUCUAAUAAAUGCUGGUGUCUCAUAGAGGUGGUAAAGGAGUGGAGAACACCAAAUGAGUGCAUGAAAAUUGAUCACUAAUCCUCAUUAUGUUGCAAAUGAUGCAGUCCUGAUGCAGAGAGCAGUGCAUAGUCAUCACUUUUAUGUUGCAAGGUUCCCUUUAAGACUCCAAUGUAAUGAAGAAAUCAGUUUUGUUUAACGACCUUGUGCAUUAGCAGUUCUUUGUGUUGGUGACUGAAAUUAAUUUUGCUUGUGAGGUGAAGGAACAUGAGCCCAGCCUCUGCAUCAUUGCUCAAGCAUGUGCUUUAGCCCUAACAAAGAAUGGGAGGCCAUCAAAUUUCUGAGCAUCAGAAAUACCCAUGCUGAAACUCUUAGGUUCAUUAAUGAUAAAGACUCAGCAGGUUUUUAAUCACUGUGGCGCAUGGUUAGAAACUGCACCUCUGUGCAGUUUUGCUCAAGCACUGGAAAUUCUUGGUGACAUCAUGAAGACCGUCUUUAUUUUUCUUGACCAUCUCACAAAACAGACUUCCUCCUUGACCAGAGUAAUUACAAAAUUGUUCAGUUGUGGUUUAUGUUGCCAUACUGCUUAUUUAAAUAAAUGGUGUGAAGAAAAAGAAUAAGAGAAAGAUGAAGGAUAAAUAUGUCAAGGACAUAAAGACUGCAAGAAGCACAAAGUUUCAAGAAGACUUGGAGCAGAGAAUAAAAGGAGGGAGAAAUAAUGUUAUUUAAGAAGGAGGAAGAACAGACAAAGAGGAUGAAAGGAAUGUAAAAGGGAAAGUGAAAAGUCUGACAAAAAACAGGAAAGAAAUACAACUGAUGGAUAACAUUUCAAGAAAACAUAAUAAAAAUAGAAGGAAACACAAUGCAAAUAAUUACUUUUACAUUUGUAGAUGCUUCCUGGUCUAGCAAUGUGUGCUUGGCAAAUAUUCUUUAUCCUUGAGUUUGGAAAACUGGAGAACUCGGUUUAAAUUUAAUUUGGUGGAUAACAAAAGAUGUGGUCAAUAAAAUGAAAAAAAAAAAAUUAAUUAAGUGUGAAUAUGGAUGGCAAAGGCUGCAAGUGUAUUCUGUUUGGUCUUGUUUAGAUUUCACUUAGACUACAAAACACCGAUCAAAAAAGAUGACCUAUGAAGACUCUAGUAGUCUUCCCUUUCUUUGCCUGGAGACAAGAAUGAACUGCAAUGGACUUUAUUUGUUUGCAGUGCAGCCCGGAGCUCUAUUAGACCAUGGAAAGACAAGAAAUUCCAAAACCGGUUUAGUUUGGAUCCACCUUCAGCAGAGAGAGAUAUAAUGUAUAAUGUCUUAAUAAGGCUGCAGAAAGCUUCUGGUGUUGUUUUGAAUCAGAAGCAAGUCUGAACAUUUGCCACCUUCUGAUCCAAGGCGGAGAUCUGAACUAGGGAGUAUGCAAGGGCUCUAAAUGCCUUUCAUCACUAGGACUCCUAGAUGCGCUUCUGCCCAACUGGCACUCUUCUGGCUCAGUUACUGAUCUUUGCAUAGCUCACUGGUUUUAUGUUCCACAAUAUCCCAUCUAGCUGCUUCUCCAAAAAUAACAGCUUCUCCUUCCUUAUUCUGCCUCAGUCUGCAGGAUUUUUUUCCAGUUCUGUUCUUCACGCUUGGAAAAACCUUUCCAUCCUAAAGGACAAGCCAUAAAGGCUCUCUUCUUUCCCAGUUUUUAAUUUUUCUUUUUUAAGGGCAUGUCAGUGAAUGGGAUGUGUUUUAGCAAUGACAGUUAAUUACUAUAACCAGUUGGUUAUUGUAAUUAUAAUUAAAAUAUGCCAUUAAAAAAAAAUUGUAUGUUGUUGUCAUUUUCUAUACUCUUAAUGCACCAAGAUGUGUGUUUCUCCAGUAAACAUCAAGUUUUAGCCAGCAUUAAGAGUGCAGGCACUGCACUGGUGAUAUUUAACAGUAAAAGUGGCAGCCUCAGUGGAAAUUGCAAAACCAGACACAAUAUUUUGCAGGCUCUGAAACUUUAUAUCUGAGGAAGAAUUCAAAUGAUGAGCAUUGCUCUGGGAAGAGGCAUAGAAAUAAGACUUACUUGGAAGGUCGGAUUUGUGAUGGCUGUCAUGCCUGGGAUGAAGUUUAUCCAUGAGACUACUUGUGUGGAUCCCUGCCAAGGGGAUUAUGAAACAGUGUUGGGAAGAUGACAGGGAGUGUUUAUUCCCAUAUUGAUAAACGGAUGACAGGAAUCUGCUUACAAGGUGGAGUAGCAAAAGGGAACAGUGUGGAAUGUGUAAACAUCAGUAAAUCAUGGGAGAACGUCUCAAUGUUUUUUGAACAGUUCCAUUUCUACAAUGUGUUUUCUUUGCACUGCCAUUAUGUUAUGUUUGUGAGGAAGCACCUAGGCAUGCUUCUUCCCAAAUGCUUUAUUUUGUCCUUGAAUUAAUAAAAAGCGAUUUCUUAAAUUGUGAAAAUCCAGAUACUUACCUUAUGCUUGUGUCUUCUUUUGGUUUUGUUUGGUUUUUUGUUUGUUUGUUUGUUUUUCCUCCUUUAUCUU